Molecule: long non-coding RNA, 307 nt
Organism: Wasmannia auropunctata (little fire ant)
Lineage: Eukaryota; Metazoa; Arthropoda; Insecta; Hymenoptera; Formicidae
Exons: 2
Source: RefSeq, a predicted model, not a curated record
UUGUUCGAACUGAUUUUUGUUGUGUGAAAUUUUUGCAGGAUAUGUAAAACGCCAUCGUUUACGUUUAAGGAUAUGCUGCAUAUAUGUAGACUACAUAAUCAACGCAACAUUAUAAUUUAUAAGUUUUUUCAACUGAAAGAGAUGUAUUUCAGGGCAAUGUCUAAGGAAAUGACAACAAUUAUUCGCAGAAAAUUAAACUCAAUUAUCCAAAAGCAAGGGUAGCUUUCAAGGUACUGCGGUUCCCUAGAAUAAGAGCGAUCUAAAAAAGUGUAUGUAUUUUCAACGUUUACAAAUACAUCUAAUGAUC